Molecule: ribosomal RNA, 472 nt
Filed under: uncultured bacterium
Lineage: Bacteria
Description: bacterial SSU rRNA
Rfam family: Bacterial small subunit ribosomal RNA
Source: RNAcentral
GACGAACGCUGGCGGCGUGCCUAACACAUGCAAGUCAACUUGACUGAAGGAGCAAUCUGACAGUAGAGUGGCGCAAGGGUGCGUAACGCGUAAGUAACUUGCCCAAGGUAAGGAAUAACGUCGAGAAAUCGGCGCUAAUACCUCAUAAUGCAGCGGAUCCGCAUGGAUAUGUUGUUAAAGGUUAACCGCCUUGGGAUAGGCUUGCGUCUGAUUAGUUAGUUGGUGUGGUAACGGCACACCAAGGCUACGAUCAGUAACUGGUCUGAGAGGAUGAUCAGUCACACUGGAACUGAGACACGGUCCAGACUCCUACGGGAGGCAGCAGUGAGGAAUAUUGGGCAAUGCUCGAAAGAGUGACCCAGCAACGCCGCGUGGAGGAUGAAGGUAUUCUAUAUCGUAAACUCCUGUGAGAGCAGACGAAAGACAGAUUAUAAUCUGGAUGACUGUAUGCUCAGAGGAAGCCCCGGCUAAC